Long non-coding RNA from Sciurus carolinensis (gray squirrel), 3304 nucleotides. RefSeq lists it as uncharacterized. Lineage: Eukaryota; Metazoa; Chordata; Mammalia; Rodentia; Sciuridae. The record is from RefSeq and is a predicted model, not a curated record. The transcript is spliced from 3 exons.
CGGACCCAGCCCCCCUCCGCGGCUGGGCCUCGCCGGCCCCCCACCUUGCGACCAGCGCGCGUGGGCCAGGACAGGCGCAGUCGGUUGGCCAGCACCGCGGCGGUGAGCGUGGAGCCGUUGUUCCCGCCCCAGCCGACGAGCAUGACCCCGAGCCGGGGCACCUGCCGGGCGGUCCGGAAGGUGAAGCGCGUGGACGUGGGGUGCACCUGGGGGCAGGCGGUGUCGUGAGGCUGGGCCCCUGCCUCUUCUCCCCUCCAAGCAGGGAAGGGGUUGGAGAUGUUGGACAAUCCCCAUCCCCCCGUCGUCUCCCCAGUCCAAGGCUCCCUGGUCCCUCGCCCACCUUGAGGACACCGCCCUCCCGGCUAACGCGCGUCGUCCGGUACUCGUAUUGAGCCUCGAUGGCCUCGGGGCUGUAGACCACGUCCGGGCUCUCGACCAUGAACUGGGUGGCUGCCUCCAUCGCGGCGAGCUGGGGCCCGGGUUAGCAGAGGGUCAGCGGGGACCCCAGGUGAGCGGCCCAAGCCGGCCUGGGUCCCCAAGGAGACCCCAGCCGGCCCAAGACUUCACUCACCUUCGCGGAGUCAGAUCCGACAGCGGCGGCGGACAGCGCGGGCUCUGGGGCGCGCGGCCUCGGGAGAAAAGAGCCGCGGCCACGCCCCCCGCCACGCCCCCGCUGCGCCUGGUGGGGAGGGGCGCGGCAGCGCGGGGUAGGGGUUCGAGGCCCGACCUCCCAGAGCCACGGCGACGGUGGAGUCCGGGUCCGGCCGGAAGCGGCUGGGUCCCCACUGGGCAGCAUUGGUUCUCAAGGCAACCUCUGGGGCGCGCGGCCGUUUAUUCCCACUUUACAAAAGAGGAAGAUGAGGCUGCAAUUGAGCGCCAGACCCCAGCCACAAACUAGGGUCACCAGGAUGGAGACCCCCCCUGAGCUUCCAUGACUCAGGAAGGACGGCCGGGGACUGACUGCAGCCGCAGUGGUCUGGUCCAGGCAGGGCGGCAAGGCCCGAGGAGGCAGGUGCUGGCCCUGGGGUGUGGCGACGGGGACGCGAUCCUCAGGCAGAGCGGUGUGGCCAGGCCGUCUCUGAAGCAGGGUGUACCCUGGCCCGCCGGCCUGCCUGACCUCCCCUCCCGCGCCCCCGAGAUUCCUGUGUCGCCUCAGAACUCUGGCCAAGACAGCUGCCGCAGGGAGGCCAAGACCCGCAGCCAGGGAGCCCAGGACCCUUCCCUCCCCACGGCUGUUUUUCCUGUUUAAAAUAAACACCCCAGCCACGCAGUCCUCGGAGGGCCUGCGCCUGCGUUCUUCAGCUCCUCCCUGGAACAGUCCACGCCACCAGCGUCAGUGGCACGGGGACACCCACCCCGCGGUGCCAGCCCAGGAGUUGCAAAGCCACACACACCACUGGCUGCUGCUGCAUUUUUUCAGAGUUGAUUUUCAUUUGUGUUCCGGGUGGGGUCCUGCCUGUGGCCCAGGCUGGCUUUGCACUCCUGGGCUCAGACACCCCCUCAGCCUCCCGCGAGCUGGACCACAGCCACGGGCGACCUGCUGCUCUUUCAUCAGAAACAGGGUGAGUCCGGGUUUGUUUCCCCAAGCGCUUCUCCCCCUCUGCCCACCAGGUCCCCUCCUGCGGGAGGCCGUCACUCAGCAGCCCUGUCCACACCGGGGCCCUACGGUGCUUGUGCCAGCUCUGACUGCGCCCCCAUGCCAGUCCAGUCUGCCUCCACCUUCCGAGAGACGCCUGGGCCUGGGGCACCUGCAGAGCCCUCUGCCCCGGUCCUUGUUCUAGGACCGGGGACUGCCUCCCUGGGGCCACCGCAGACCCGGCUGUGACACACACACAAGCCAGCCAGGCAGCCAGGGGCUGCUGGGUUCAGUUCAGUGAAAUUUAUUGUAGGUUGGAAAUCAGCAUUCACGUGUUUAGUGUACAAAAAGGACACCAGAUGUUUUAAGAAAAUAUUAGGAGACUGAAGAUGCGGAUGCCUUUCAAUUGUAACAUUUUGGCAAAAGUGAAAAAUUCUUGUAAACACCAACUCCAUGGCUCAAAAGUUUUCCUCCACAGUACAACAUUAAAAGGAAAAAACAUAUCAAUAAGUUAGAGCAUAUUUCAUCAGCUAGAACUUGCGUCCAUCGAGCCCGAAACACAACACUUCCCCAGCUCCAUCCUCCUCCAGGGACGAACAAACAAAACACCGAGGCAGAUUCAACAGAGGCCCUUGAACUGGUUCCAGGUGGAGGGCGGGGGCCAGGCCGCCUAAGCAGGACUCCUGCCCGCCUGCCGCCCUUCCCACCCCUCCCACCCCAAAUGCAAAACAAAACAACAGCUAUUGAAACAUGAAGGAUCAGUUUCCUCAGAGAUGCAAGAACCCCAGGGGUCCCAAAAGAAAGAGACGCUGGGGCAGGGGUGGACACCAGCAGGCGCCUCCACAGGCACCAGUUCUUUGGAAGCCACUGGGAGACACCCCCGCGGUUUAGAAAAACAGACCAUCUGUGCUCGCCCUGCACUCUCCCUGCUCACUGCGGUGGGCGGCGCCCCAGCCCCAGCAUAACCGACCCUGGUCACGGCUGUGCCCACCACAUUCCCGAGUCAUGGCUUCGCUUGGCCCUGAAUGUGAACACUCGCCUCAGACCCCCCACACCCUGGAGGGGGCCCCCUACACACGCACGCGCACACACACAAAUAGUCCCCCAAUGCUUUGGGGGACACUAGGAGACUAGGCACAGCGACAAAGCAGCAGUUGGGGUACUGUGGAGCUUGUGCCCCAGAGAGGACAGACAGGGCGCUGUCCUUGGGAUCCUGCGGCUCUGUCCACAGGGCCCCAGCCCCUCCCUGAGUGCAAACCCCAGCGGUGGCCCUGCCCAGACAACCCCAGGACCCACAGGUGGAUGGAGGCCGAGCGAGGUCAGCAGCACGGAGACCGCACGGCCUCGACGGCGUGGAACCAAGAGCAGCUGUGAGGGGGAACCGAGGACCUUGGGACUGAGAUUGAACACCGUGCCAUCGCCGAGGCCUCCCAGCUGGUGGCAGGACAUGUCCGUGGCCUGACAGCUGAGGGCCUGAAAUAGCAGGGCAGGCCAGGGGCUCCAGGGCCACGCGGCCCCUCGGCUCGGAGCGGCUGUCGGGGUGCCGCUGGAGGUGAGCCUUGAGGGAGGCUGCGGAGCAGACCCUGUCCAGCGCCAGCCCCGGUGGCCCCGGCCCCGCCUCGGAGUCUCUCCUGGGAAGCCGACAGUGCUGUGCCUUGGGUGGCAUCUUAAUACUGCGGGACAGGACCCAGGGUAGCAUCUAGACCCUGGAUGUCCAAGGAGAGGGAG